This is a long non-coding RNA of Felis catus (domestic cat), 1116 nucleotides long. RefSeq lists it as uncharacterized. The record is from RefSeq and is a predicted model, not a curated record. NCBI's taxonomy places the organism in Eukaryota, Metazoa, Chordata, Mammalia, Carnivora, Felidae. The transcript has 3 exons.
GAGGGGGGACGGACUGAGGGGGGAGGUGGCGGGUGCUGUUGUAUCCCUGGCCACCCGACGCGUGGGGGCCAGUCCGGGGCGGAGCCCUGUGGGACCCGCAGCCAGGAGCAGGAUGUCCUUGUGUCCUCAGUGAGAAAAUUGCAAUGUGACUGUUUUCCGACUGCUGCUGGGUGACCCGGCCUAGACCACUGUGCCUCCAGGGGAUCCGGUCACAUCUGCGUCCUCUGCUCAGCAGAUACCUUCCUCGUCUCCUCCUCUUAGCCAGCCCCUCCCCGCACCGUGCUCCCGGAGCUCCUCUGCAGCCCUCCCGCCUCCCCAGGGCUCUUCCUGAGAAGGAGGAGGCUCACAGGGCCUCCAGCGCCAGCAGCCUCUCCGGCCCCCAAACGCUAUAGGUCUUUCCUGAGCCAUCUACUCUGUUCCAAGCAAUUGGUAGAAAGUCUUUUCCAUAGAGCGGCCGGGCAUUUACAUCCGUAUUGUCCCUGCUGGUCCAGCUUCUGUCUCCGGAGCCGGGAGUAGGGGUACUGUUGUGCCCCUCACUCCCACCCCAGUGUCUCUACUGCCUGCACCCCCAGCUUAGCGCCUCUCCCCGCAGAUUCCCUGAGGGGUCUACCCCGCCACGCCCUGGCCGUUCGCCGACCGGCCUCUAGGUGGCGCUGCCUAUCUGGUGUACCUGCCCGCGUCCCGCCCGCACAACCUCAGCUCGACCCAAGGCUCCCCUGGGCCCUCUUGGGGGCCAGGAGCUGGGGCUGGAGAUUGGAGAUGCGGACCUUAACAAGGCCCAGACUUUGUUUUUUUUUUUUUUUUUUGGGGGGGGGGCUCUGAGUCUCAUUUGGUUGUCCAGUUGAUCGAUUAUUACAAUAUAGUCUUUGAUCCCACGGGGAAAUGUGGGGCUCCGGAAGCUUUUUUUUUCUUUUUUUUUUUUGAGAAGUCAUCUGGAUGCCUUUAAAAACUGUUUCCACAUGGCAGAAGCAGUCGUGAAUUUUGGAGAAUUCAGUAAAAUACCAAAGUCUACACAGCCCUCUGUGGCGCGCCUUCCCAGCCCCCGCUGGAAGGAACCACUGUCCUCAGCGGGCUGCGUAUCCCCCCCCCAGAUCAUUUUUUUUUUUUUUUUUUUUU